RNAcentral lists this ribosomal RNA (385 nucleotides) under uncultured bacterium. RNAcentral's name for it is "bacterial SSU rRNA". It matches the Rfam family "Bacterial small subunit ribosomal RNA", at positions 28 to 416 of the family's 1533-position model. The record is from RNAcentral.
GACGAACGCUGGCGGCGUGCUUAACACAUGCAAGUCGAGCGGUAAGGCCCUUCGGGGUACACGAGCGGCGAACGGGUGAGUAACACGUGGGUGACCUGCCCUUAGCUCUGGGAUAAGCCUGGGAAACUGGGUCUAAUACCGGAUAUGACCUCAUGACGCAUGUUGUGGGGUGGAAAGCCUUGUGCGGCUAGGGGAUGGGCCCGCGGCCUAUCAGCUUGUUGGUGGGGUGAUGGCCACCAAGGCGACGACGGGUAGCCGGCCUGAGAGGGCGACCGGCCACACUGGGACUGAGACACGGCCCAGACUCCUACGGGAGGCAGCAGUGGGGAAUCUUGCGCAAUGGGCGAAAGCCUGACGCAGCGACGCCGCGUGAGGGAUGACGGCC